CCUCUCGGGAGGUGACUGAGGGCGUGAAGGCAGCAGGCGGCCACACAGCUGAAAGAAACUCCCCGAAAGCCGGAACGAGCGCUUAAAAACCUGCACCAACUCGGAAGGGUAGCGGUACCCGGAGGUUUUGCGUAACUUUGCCCACUGCGCCCCCGCGUGCAAAGGCGUCCCCUCGCACUCACACCCUCACCCCACCCCACUCCCGCUCCGCUGCGGCCCGAGCCUGCCUUUGUAUUUCGGUGACAGCGAAAGAUGUGCUGAUCUGAACCAGUGGUGGUUGUGGGGGUGGUGUGUGUGUGUGUGUGGAGGGACUGUAAAUUGGGUGAAUUCCACCUCCUGACAGCCCCAGAUACGGAGAGAACUAGCACCGGGUUCUCCCCGAAGGCGUCCCCUCCUCUUCUCUCUGACCUUGGGUCUCCAGCUUUUUCACUAUUAUGGGUUGAAGAAGAUAAAGCACAAGCAGAUCGAUGUGUGUUUUUUACUGAAACCACAGCCUUUCCAAAUCGUAGCCCUCAACGAGCUUGGUGGGGUUGGAGAAAGGCAAGUUAUUUCGGGGAGCAAGAGCACCCCUCGGAAGGUUCGCACGCGGCCUGGCGGGCGCCUAGCCCGGCUCAGCGCGGCCGGGCGAAGUGGCUGGAUUAUGUAAG
RNAcentral lists this long non-coding RNA (647 nucleotides) under Marmota monax (woodchuck). The record is from RNAcentral. Lineage: Eukaryota; Metazoa; Chordata; Mammalia; Rodentia; Sciuridae.